Molecule: long non-coding RNA, 2168 nt
Filed under: Pomacea canaliculata
Lineage: Eukaryota; Metazoa; Mollusca; Gastropoda; Architaenioglossa; Ampullariidae
Description: uncharacterized LOC112560370, transcript variant X2
Source: RNAcentral
CACUACCGUUCAUUUUUGCUUUGGUUAACAUCUCUCCCAGACCAUCUGGAAUCCUGGUGUAAUCAUUGACACAUCUUUAUAUUUUGAAUUUUACAUCAGUGCAGUCUGUAAGUCCAUCUUCCUAAAGCUUCACAGAUAAAACUCAGUAAUGCCAUUUGUACUGUCUUCCAAAAAAAGGCAGACCAUGCUAUAAUCCUCCUCUCUGAGCUUCACUGGCUGCAUUAAUAAACAAGGUCCCCACCACAGCAUGCUAUCAUUGUACUCACAGCCUUACCCCAGCAUACUUAGCUACUGGUGCCUCACCAUUUAAGUUGGUCUGUUAGGUCUUCUUGUGUUGUCCUCCCAUCUGUGACAUGCUUCAGACGUAAGAAAUUCGGCAGGCACUCUUUUACAUCGCAGGCCCCACAGUUUUGCAUUCCCAAGCCCUUUUUCGUCAAACUGUAUCUACAUUCAAAGCCUUCGAAUCUGGCCUUACAAUUCAUCUAUUAAAACUAUUUUGCAUAAUUAAGCGAACUGUUCUGCUUACUCUUCUGUUCGUCAUCCAUGUACUUUUGCAUGUUUUUUCAUGGUGUCUUUUCUUUGCUGAUGCUUAUGUUUCUUGUUUGGUUGACUGUUCAUUUGUAGUCUUUUGUGCAUAGAGCAUUAAGCUUACAUCUACACAGGGAAAUGUGUUUUACAAAUUCAAUUAUCUCAAAAAUAGAUGGGGGCUGUUAACUUAAAUAUUCUCUUUUACAUGACAUUGUUGGUAUUUUUAUAAGUAAAAAUGAUUAUGAAGCUGUUGCCAACAGAUAAUAGAACCUGAAAAUGAAUCUUUCUUGUAUAUGAAGACUAGAUGGUCCUUGGAAGCUUACAGUGAUGCAUUGCAUAAACUGGUUUUUGUUUUGUUUACCUCCGAAAUUGCAUUCCAAGAUUUUGGUCAUAUUGUUUUUAUGUUUUAUGCUAGCAUCAUCAUUUUGAUCAUUCUUGCUUCUUCAGGCAAACUGAAAGACAGUUAAAAUGACAACUAUGGAAAGUUUAAUAUUCAUGAUCUACAGCUUAUUAAAAAUAACAGAGAAAUAAAGUCGCUUAUCUGUUGUCAGUCUCAAGUCUCAUUAUCAGCGAUGCCAGUUAUAUGUCGUUUCAUUUGUGUAGAAAAAGGGUGAAAUAGUUAGUCUGGAGAAUCUGCAGAGCAUUUUGUCAUCAAACCUCAUAAGCAAGAAACCUAUUCCUGGUGUGGAAUCAAACCUUGAAUGGCCUUCACAGGUGGCACACCUCACUGAUGAAAGGUUGUCAGCAGCUUUGGCACAAAACUCCUUUUUUCAUCUCAAAUGGGUGUCAAAACAUCCAUCUACAAGUCAACUUAUGAGAAAACUAUUCCCAAAGCCAAAAAUCUUUGGACCAGAUGUUGAAAUAUCUUUGAAAAAAUAUGUAUUCCUUGAGGGACCAAAAUCCAGAGUGAAUCCAUUAAAUGCCUUCUUUGAGAUGCCCUUCAGUUGGUAUGUGCAAGGAUGGGGAUCCAGGAAGGCUGUGCUGACCCCUCUUAAAAGGUGCCUUGAAACCUGCCAGAAACUUGAGGUCAUUUUGCACAAAGGAGAUGUGUUGACAUUCAACAAUAACUUCUAUGAAGUUGAAAUGCAUCCAGAAGGAGACGAUAUCAGCAUCAGUUUUCUGGGCUAUUUUUUGCCAAAAUAACAAGAAGAAUAGUCUUAUUGACCUUUUUAUCCUGGCAUUUGAAUUUUUCAUUGUUCUAAAAUGCAGACCUAAUUUAUUCUUCUUCAAAGCUAUAAUGAUUUUAUGAGCAUAAACAUUCAACUUCUAUCACAGUGAUUUAUCAGGAAGCAUAUAUUUUAAUGAUGUGUACUAAAGGUUUGCAGGAAAAGUAAACCAACAGUGCAUUGUAACAAAUGUCUUCUUAUACAUCAAGUUUCUGUUAUGCAGUUGAAGUGAUUUAGCAAAAAGAUCAUAAUUUUAGCAGGUAUGGCAUAAUUUAUAGUCAAACAAAAUGUAAUGGUCUUAAUGUAAAUGUCUACCAAUUGAAUGUUGUUUUUAUGAUCAAUUUUAUGUAUGUUUUUGAAAUUAAGCUGCUAUCAAUAUCUUGAUAUUGUACAUUAAGUGCCUGUUAGAAUUUUUUUAAACUUAGGAAUCCUACCCUAAAAGUUGGUUCAUCAUUAAAACAUUAUUGAACAUAA